CGGGAAUGACAUAUUGGUGGUAGGGAUCCGAAAGGUGACCGACCCUUCGGGGAGCCUUUACAGGUGCUGCAUGGCUGUCGUCAGCUCGUGUCGUGAGAUGUCCGGUUAAGUCCGGUAACGAGCGCAACCCUUGCUGUAUGUUACACGUAUCAUACGGGACUGCCGGCUUAAGGCCGGAGGAAGGCGGGGAUGACGUCAAGUCAGCAUGGCCUUUAUAUCCGGGGCUACACACACGCUACAAUGGUCAGUACAAUAGGUCGCAAAACCGCGAGGUGGAGCCAAUCCUCAAAACUGAUCUCAGUUCAGAUUGCAGGCUGCAACCCGCCUGCAUGAAGCUGGAGUUGCUAGUAACCGCGCGUCAGCCAUAGUGCGGUGAAUACGUUCCCGGGUCU
Molecule: ribosomal RNA, 392 nt
Filed under: uncultured bacterium
Lineage: Bacteria
Description: bacterial SSU rRNA
Rfam family: Bacterial small subunit ribosomal RNA
Source: RNAcentral